Procambarus clarkii (red swamp crayfish) is the source of this 479-nucleotide long non-coding RNA. RefSeq lists it as uncharacterized. The record is from RefSeq and is a predicted model, not a curated record. Lineage: Eukaryota; Metazoa; Arthropoda; Malacostraca; Decapoda; Cambaridae.
CUUGUACUUAUCUACUGUGGAGUCAUUGUAAGAACCAGGGCCUGGCACCUUCAUCUUGUCUUCAUCAGGCAGAGGCCGUGCAGACAUAGUAAAGCUUGGGGCUGAAUGUUUGGAGCCUUCCUUGGUGGAACCCAGCAGGGAUGAUUCAAACCCGGAAUUCCUGAUUGCUAGUUGGGAAUGAACCCAACUAUACUACUGGUGCCUGAGGGCCACUAUCUCUAGUGUCUACAAGAGGGCAAGAAGUCAGCAGCUUGUCAAAAGGUCUCUGCACCCCCAUUUGUGCUGAUUUUAUUCAGCUGGACCUCUAAGCUCAGCAGUGUUUUGGGUUUUACAACUUUGGCAGUAGCAAAAAACUACAUCUAGUAUUGGGUCUCUGCACAAAGAAGAUGAAUACAUGUAACAAUAUAUACGCUGGUGAGCAGCCUUUACCUGGAGCAUCAGAAGGCCUUCCAUCUUCAGUCUUGACACCAAAGGAGAAG